AGCGAACGCUGGCGGCAGGCUUAACACAUGCAAGUCGAGCGGGCGCAGCAAUGCGUCAGCGGCAGACGGGAGAGUAACACGUGGGAACGCGCCCUUCGGUUCGGAAUAACUCAGGGAAACUUGAGCUAAUACCGGAUACGCCCUAACGGGGAAAGAUUUAUUGCCGAAGGAACGGCCCGCGUCUGAUUAGCUAGUUGGUGAGGUAAUGGCUCACCAAGGCGACGAUCAGUAGCUGGUCUGAGAGGAUGGCCAGCCUCACUGGGACUGAGACACGGCCCAGACUCCUACGGGAGGCAGCAGUGGGGAAUAUUGGACAAUGGGCGCAAGCCUGAUCCAGCCAUGCCGCGUGGAUGAUGAAGGCCCUAGGGUUGUAAAGUCCUUUUAACGGGGAAGAUAAUGACGGUACCCGUAGAAUAAGCCCCGGCUAACUUCGUGCCAGCCGCCGCGGUAAUAC
Molecule: ribosomal RNA, 454 nt
Filed under: uncultured bacterium
Lineage: Bacteria
Description: bacterial SSU rRNA
Rfam family: Bacterial small subunit ribosomal RNA
Source: RNAcentral